RNAcentral lists this transfer RNA (75 nucleotides) under Bacteroidota bacterium. Its description in RNAcentral is "Bacteroidetes bacterium (activated sludge metagenome) tRNA-Pro". It matches the Rfam family "tRNA". Rfam says of the family: Transfer RNA (tRNA) molecules are approximately 80 nucleotides in length. Their secondary structure includes four short double-helical elements and three loops (D, anti-codon, and T loops). Lineage: Bacteria; Pseudomonadati; Bacteroidota. The record is from RNAcentral.
CGGGGCGUAGCGCAGCCCGGUUAGCGCGCCUGUUUUGGGAGCAGGAUGUCGGAGGUUCAAAUCCUCUCGCCCCGA